RNAcentral lists this transfer RNA (70 nucleotides) under Loxodonta africana (African savanna elephant). It matches the Rfam family "tRNA". Rfam says of the family: Transfer RNA (tRNA) molecules are approximately 80 nucleotides in length. The record is from Rfam by way of RNAcentral. Lineage: Eukaryota; Metazoa; Chordata; Mammalia; Proboscidea; Elephantidae.
GCAGUGGUGGUUCAGUGGUAGAAUUCUCUCCUUCCAGGCAGAAGACCCAGGUUCGAUUCCCGCCACUGCA